Molecule: ribosomal RNA, 1304 nt
Filed under: bacterium Am-1
Lineage: Bacteria
Description: bacterial SSU rRNA
Rfam family: Bacterial small subunit ribosomal RNA
Source: RNAcentral
AGUCGAGCGGACAGAUGGGAGCUUGCUCCCUGAUGUUAGCGGCGGACGGGUGAGUAACACGUGGGUAACCUGCCUGUAAGACUGGGAUAACUCCGGGAAACCGGGGCUAAUACCGGAUGGUUGUUUGAACCGCAUGGUUCAGACAUAAAAGGUGGCUUCGGCUACCACUUACAGAUGGACCCGCGGCGCAUUAGCUAGUUGGUGAGGUAACGGCUCACCAAGGCAACGAUGCGUAGCCGACCUGAGAGGGUGAUCGGCCACACUGGGACUGAGACACGGCCCAGACUCCUACGGGAGGCAGCAGUAGGGAAUCUUCCGCAAUGGACGAAAGUCUGACGGAGCAACGCCGCGUGAGUGAUGAAGGUUUUCGGAUCGUAAAGCUCUGUUGUUAGGGAAGAACAAGUGCCGUUCAAAUAGGGCGGCACCUUGACGGUACCUAACCAGAAAGCCACGGCUAACUACGUGCCAGCAGCCGCGGUAAUACGUAGGUGGCAAGCGUUGUCCGGAAUUAUUGGGCGUAAAGGGCUCGCAGGCGGUUUCUUAAGUCUGAUGUGAAAGCCCCCGGCUCAACCGGGGAGGGUCAUUGGAAACUGGGGAACUUGAGUGCAGAAGAGGAGAGUGGAAUUCCACGUGUAGCGGUGAAAUGCGUAGAGAUGUGGAGGAACACCAGUGGCGAAGGCGACUCUCUGGUCUGUAACUGACGCUGAGGAGCGAAAGCGUGGGGAGCGAACAGGAUUAGAUACCCUGGUAGUCCACGCCGUAAACGAUGAGUGCUAAGUGUUAGGGGGUUUCCGCCCCUUAGUGCUGCAGCUAACGCAUUAAGCACUCCGCCUGGGGAGUACGGUCGCAAGACUGAAACUCAAAGGAAUUGACGGGGGCCCGCACAAGCGGUGGAGCAUGUGGUUUAAUUCGAAGCAACGCGAAGAACCUUACCAGGUCUUGACAUCCUCUGACAAUCCUAGAGAUAGGACGUCCCCUUCGGGGGCAGAGUGACAGGUGGUGCAUGGUUGUCGUCAGCUCGUGUCGUGAGAUGUUGGGUUAAGUCCCGCAACGAGCGCAACCCUUGAUCUUAGUUGCCAGCAUUCAGUUGGGCACUCUAAGGUGACUGCCGGUGACAAACCGGAGGAAGGUGGGGAUGACGUCAAAUCAUCAUGCCCCUUAUGACCUGGGCUACACACGUGCUACAAUGGACAGAACAAAGGGCAGCGAAACCGCGAGGUUAAGCCAAUCCCACAAAUCUGUUCUCAGUUCGGAUCGCAGUCUGCAACUCGACUGCGUGAAGCUGGAAUCGCUAGUAAUCGCGG